GACGAACGCUGGCGGCGUGCUUAACACAUGCAAGUCGAGCGGUAAGGCCCUUUCGGGGGUACACGAGCGGCGAACGGGUGAGUAACACGUGGGUGACCUGCCUUCAGCUUUGGGAUAAGCCUGGGAAACUGGGUCUAAUACCGGAUAUGACCUUGGGGUGCAUGCCUUGGGGUGGAAAGCCUGUGUUGUUUGGCAUGGGUGGCUGGGGAUGGGCCCGCGGUCUAUCAGCUUGUUGGUGGGGUGANGGCCUACCAAGGCGACGACGGGUAGCCGGCCUGAGAGGGCGUUCGGCCACACUGGGACUGAGACACGGCCCAGACUCCUACGGGAGGCAGCAGUGGGGAAUAUUGCGCAAUGGGCGGAAGCCUGACGCAGCGACGCCGCGUGGGGAUGAC
Molecule: ribosomal RNA, 395 nt
Filed under: uncultured bacterium
Lineage: Bacteria
Description: bacterial SSU rRNA
Rfam family: Bacterial small subunit ribosomal RNA
Source: RNAcentral